Long non-coding RNA from Micropterus salmoides (largemouth bass), 1201 nucleotides. RefSeq lists it as uncharacterized. Lineage: Eukaryota; Metazoa; Chordata; Actinopteri; Centrarchiformes; Centrarchidae. The transcript has 5 exons. The record is from RefSeq and is a predicted model, not a curated record.
CCUUGGACUUGGUACCUGUCUAUGGACUUCCAGUGCCACCACUCCUCUGUUGGUCUAUUUUUACAGACAAAACAGAGGUGAGCUGAAACAGCUGUUUCUGGAGGCCUUCUGCUGAUGACCACCGUGACCAGUGCUAUUGUAGCUACACUUCUACAGCUGCCAGUCGUUCUGCCGUCUCAACUGUUUUAUCCAGACCCUCGUUCCAACAUUAGUUUUGCCUGCUAUCUGUCACAUCCUGUCUUCAUUAUCCUGUACACUGGCGUGCAACAGACCCCAACUCAGGCAUCAACUUCUUGACAGAGAGUUGAUAUGGAUUACAUCUUGCAGGUGACACAAAAAGUGUAAUUUCAAGUUGGAAAUUAUUAAAAGAGGACUAAUACAGCGAAAAGGACUGCCCUCUUGUGGAGGACAAGAUUAGUGUGAUAGGCUUCCUUGUGACCACAAAUAACAACAUAAAUAACUCUGGCCACCAUUUCACUGCACUUUCCAUGGCAGUGAGUCAGAAUUUACAAGUGACACCGACUUAGCUAAUGAGAUCAUAACAAAGGGUAUCUGUUUCUUAUGACGCAACGCCCAGACCUUUCCAUCUUAGCACUUGAGUUAUGCAGGGCAUGUGCUACGUUGUGUGUUGAAUUAUGUUGAGUAAUGCUUGCCAAACAACCUCAAAUAAAUACCUUGAUCCUUCUGCCACUGUUUUUGUUGAUGUGUUGAUUUUCACUGGAGUAUAGUUGUUAAGCUCAGUGUUGAUAACGUGUCUGUCUAAGUCGUUCAAAGUUUCUAUCAUGUUUGACACCAGGAUGGAGAUAAAUGAUAUCCUCCCAGAAAUUUUGGCCAUCAUUUCAAGUUUCAGCAUUCAAUCUGCUUACUUGAGUUAUGUUUUAUUUCAAAGUUUAGGCUAGACUAUUAAAUGUCUGGUGGUGUAAGCUAAAUGCAAAAUAUGGUUAUGUUGAAGAUAUUUUAUUUAGCAUUUAGCUGUUUGAAUAUUCCACAUGCCUGUCUUGAAUAACUUCUAAAUACUAGGAUAAUGUUUAAGAUGUUUAUUAAAAUGUUUAUUAUUACACUUUUUGUUAUUAUCAACUUGAUGUCUUAUUUCUGAUGUCCCAUUUCAGUCUUAUUUAGAAGUGUCUUGUUGUUUUGUCAUGUUUUAGGGUAGAAUACACUAUUGUUUUAAUAUUGAAUAUGUGUGGAUGGUGGAGGUGAA